GCAUGGCCCAGCCCUCCCUGCCCCGCUCAGACCGAGCUCUCAAGCUCCGAAGCUGCCUUCUCCUCUCCAAUCGCCAAGUUCCCAGAGGAAGAAGAUUGGCGUGUUCUUGCUGUCUUCCUGGGAAGGAACCGGAGUUACAAGGGAACCCAGGGAUGUCACUUCUAAAGGCAGUACCUAGCCAGAGAGACAUUUAGCCCAGAAGUGCCUCUUCCUUGUUCGUCACACAGGCUGGAGACACUGAUGUCUCCAUCCCAUCAAAGGAAAAGAUAUAUACAGACAGACAGACAGACAGACAGACACACACACACACACACACACACACACACACACGUGCAUACCCUCCAUAUGAAAGGACAAAUGUUACCAGGGACAGAGAAAGCUGACAGGGGUCUUAUAGUAAAACGGAACCUGGGCUAUGUGUGUCUGAUACUGCCUUGCCAUAUGGUGCCUUUUUAAGGCCUGUCCAAUCCCAGAUUACUUCUGUUUGCCACAAACUGGAAACACUCACCUACUGUCUUGGUAAAGAACUCGAGGUCACUCAGCUGGCAACAAAAGAGCCUAUUACAGCCUGGUGAGCAGGUGAGUGUCCUGGGGUCAGCCUGUUUGCUUUGGGAAGACUCUUUUCGUCAGUUUCGAUAUAACUGAUCAUCUGUCGCUCCACAGCCUUGCUGAGAGGACCUGAUGUGGAUAUUUAACCUCUUCAUCUAGAAACCUUUCUCUCCUCAAUGGUCAUGGAGGAUUGAGCCUCCCAAGGCCUUAAUAGUAUCCGUGCGAGCUUUACACCAGAUGUAGUUUUCCUUUGGCGUCUCAAAUGGCUGCCAUUUUGGUGACUUCUGGAGCUGAGAUGCUGCCUGCUGGCUUCAACAGGGCUGGUGGUCCCUUCCCUAGCAUAUGGGAAGGGGCCUGCUGACAUAGCCCUGGCUUACUUUCCACUUGGGUAAUUACAUUCUGCAGACUUGCAAGUUUCCCACCAGGUCCAUCUUUUGGAACAGAAUGCCUUCUCUGUGCUGGGUUGCUGGCCUGCCCUCUGAGAUGGGAAUGGCCGAUGGAUUGCAUUUCAAGCUGCAGGAAGUGCAGAACCAGGUGCAAACGCUUUCUCCUACCAAGUGCAGCUUCUCGCCUCGGAAUGAGCUGUAGGCCAAACCUCCACUGUCCAGGAUGAACUGUGCCUGUAGCAAGCUGAACAGUGACUGACCCUCUGCUAAAAAUUGAAGGCGCGUCCCAGUCUGGGGUGAAACACUAGCGAUGAAAACGGUCUCUAAACCGUGGCAGAGAAAAAAGAAAGAAAGAAAAGAAAGCAAGCAUUGCCAGGCUCUGCUGCUGUCUCCGUGGGUCAUUCCCACUCCCAAGGAUUUCCGUGUCGGUUCUGAUCAAUCAGGAUGGUGGGAGGUGACCCAGUUUCACAGCAUCUGAAGCCAUUCCAUUUUUCUGUGAUACAAUUCCAUUGUGGGCCAAGCAGAAAGGUCCGGCAGAGAGACGCACACCUUCUCUUAAAAUGCCUUCUUCAGAGAAGUUGUUUCUCAGACAGGAGGAAAAAGAAAUCUGAAGCAUGUGUCCUGGGCUGAAACUCUCCCCUGGUUACCAACCUUCCCGAGCACAAGGUGGGAUGGUCUAAGAGUCUGACCUUUCGGGACUAAGAACAUGUAGAGCUGAGAAGGAAUUCAAACCAGUCUGUUUUUUUAAGCACUGGUGAUAUAACCUGUGAAACCCACAACACUGUAAAACUGGUAAUUUGUAAAUUCCUCGGUGGCACAGAAAACUAAUCUGGCAAAGAGAAAAACAGUGAAUGAUAUUCACUUUCUCCACAACUCUUUCCUUUGUUUACGAUCACAGCAAUGCCUUCUUUGAUAAGCAACUCAAAAAUCAAAGAAAAACCACCAGCCAGAGGAGACAAUAAGUCCAGUCAAAAGAGAUUUGGGACCUACCUUUAAUCCCUAAUAAUGGUCCAGAAAACCGUUUCCUUCUUGCUUUUAUAGUGUCUUCGACAAGUCCAGCGGAGGCACUAGCCGGGCAAGCAAUUUUAUGCUGGCCUCUUCAGAUAGCUUUGUGUAAUUUACAUUAUUUUUAAUUUCAGUAAUAGUAACUAGCGGGCUCAGGCAAUAAGCACUUUUUAACAAUGAAUAAAUAAAGAAACCUCUCAUAUUUCAAUUAAGUAAUGGAACGAAAUCAUAAUGAGAAUGGCUGUUUCAUUUUAGUCGGCUGUUGCCCAAAGAAUGUUCAUUAGACACGUUGCACUGUUAAUAUUUGUAAUGUUUGCACUAAUAUAAUUCAUAUUAUGGCGUUCACGGUAAUAUUGGGGAGUUUGGAGAACACUAAUCUCUCAUAGAGUGAGCCAUUGCACCAACACAGAAUCCUGUUUUCAUUGGACCAACAGGGUCACCCUUGGCUUGAAAAAAAUCGUUAUUUUUAAUCUGCGUGUAUUUGUCUGUGUAGGGUGUCUGUGCGCCACAGUGUGCAUGCGGAGGUCAGAAGACAGCCUCGGGUAUCAGUCCUUGCUUUCAGUCUUGUUGAGGAUGGUUCUCCGCCUGGACACUGCAGUGCGUGGCACCUUAGCUGGGCUGUGUCAUUCCGGGAUUCUCCUGUCUCUGUCUCUCCUCUCGUGUAGGAACACUGGGGCCGUACCACACAUGCAACCAAACUCAGCCUUGUGUGGAUUCUGGGGAUCCAAAGGCUCGCAGAGCAAACACAUUACCCACUGACCCCCCUCCCUAACCCUGCCUUUGCCUUCUUAAUUCUUGUCGUUUGAUAGAUGUGAGGGAACGAGGGCUGAGGGUUGAAGAGAUGCGGUUGGCCCCGUUUACUUAGACAUCUAAAAAAGUUAUCCAGCCUCUGCUCUGUUUUUAGGUUAUAUACCGGAGAAUGCAAGGUCAUGUGACUAAGGAUAUAUUUAGUUAGGUGGGAGUGUAUACAUACAUCAUUCUAGCCAAUAAUGGUACUGACGAAGCCAACUACUAUUUUUUUUCUCAGAUUAUAACACAUAGUGAUUAUUUAUGAAAACCUCCUGUAGCUCUUCUGGAUUAAAUGCAAGUUUCAGAACAUGUGUGUAUACUACACAGAGAGUGCUUACUCUGGUUCGAACGCAUUUGAAGUUGGUUGUGGCAGUACAUACUUUCUAUCCUAGCACUAUGGAUGCUGAGACAGAAGGGUGGCAAGUUCAAGGCGUGUGUGGGACACAUAGUGAGACUACAUCUUUUUAAAAGUUGCUUAUAUGGGGCUGGAGUGAUGGCUCAGCAAUUCAGAGCAUUUGUUGAUCUUUCAAAGGACCUGAGUUCAGAACCCAGUACCCACAGUGGUUCAGGGCUGUGGUUCCAGGGAAUCUGAUCUCCCCAUCCUGGCCUCAGGGUCACAUGUGGUCACAUACACACAUUCAGGCAAAUAUGAUUUUAAAUACAUUAUUUUAAAGCAAUAGUUAUUUUUACAUGACUCAUUGUUUGAAUUCAUUUCAAAGAGGCAAAAUAAUGUAUGAUUAUAUAUAAUUUUAAUAGCAUGAAUUCACCCUAUCUCUUUGGUCCACAAAUAUUUAUGAAUUUUAUAAUUUCAUGCACACUCCUUCCAGUUUGAGACUGUCUGAAAGAUGAUCCAUCCUGUCAUUUAAGACAUUAAAGCACUGUAUGGGGCUGGAGAGAUGGCUCAUUUGAUUAAGAGCACUGACUGCUCUUCCAGAGGUCCUGAGU
RNAcentral lists this small RNA (3674 nucleotides) under Rattus norvegicus (Norway rat). Its description in RNAcentral is "uncharacterized LOC102550774". The record is from RNAcentral. Lineage: Eukaryota; Metazoa; Chordata; Mammalia; Rodentia; Muridae.